RNAcentral lists this ribosomal RNA (450 nucleotides) under uncultured bacterium. RNAcentral's name for it is "partial 16S ribosomal RNA". It matches the Rfam family "Bacterial small subunit ribosomal RNA", at positions 338 to 795 of the family's 1533-position model. The record is from RNAcentral.
CCUACGGGGGGCAGCAGUGGGGAAUUUUGCGCAAUGGGCGAAAGCCUGACGCAGCAACGCCGCGUGGGUGAUGAAGGUCUUCGGAUCGUAAAACCCUGUCGUCAGGGACGAAGGUUGCAUGUCGAACAGAUGUGCAGCUUGACGGUACCUGGAGAGGAAGCCCCGGCUAACUCUGUGCCAGCAGCCGCGGUAAUACAGAGGGGGCAAGCGUUAUUCGGAGUUAUUGGGCGUGAAGGGUGAGGUGGGGGGUGGAAUCCCCGAGCUUAACUUGGGAACUGCAUCUCAGACUGGAACGCUGGAGUGCUGGAGAGGGUGGUGGAAUUCCACGUGUAGCGGUGAAAUGCGUAGAGAUGUGGAGGAACACCAGUGGCGAAGGCGGCCACCUGGACAGUAACUGACGCUGAGGCGCGAAAGUGUGGGGAGCAAACAGGAUUAGAUACCCUAGUAGUC